GGGUAAGUCUUGUACGACCAGCUCCCUUUACUCCUCCAGGUGCGGAAGCAAGCAAAGGUAAAAGGUUGUAGCGGUGCGAUACAAGUAGCUUACCCCUU
Molecule: signal recognition particle RNA, 98 nt
Filed under: Bacteroidia bacterium
Lineage: Bacteria; Pseudomonadati; Bacteroidota; Bacteroidia
Description: signal recognition particle sRNA small type
Rfam family: Bacteroidales small SRP
About the family: The non-coding component of the signal recognition particle in Bacteroides
Source: RNAcentral